RNAcentral lists this ribosomal RNA (370 nucleotides) under uncultured prokaryote. RNAcentral's name for it is "bacterial SSU rRNA". It matches the Rfam family "Bacterial small subunit ribosomal RNA", at positions 524 to 896 of the family's 1533-position model. The record is from RNAcentral.
UACGGAGGAUGCAAGCGUUAUCCGGAUUCAUUGGGUUUAAAGGGUGCGCAGGUGGGAAUGUAAGUCAGUGGUGAAAUACUGCCGCUUAACGGUAGAGCUGCCAUUGAUACUGCGUUUCUUGAGUAUGGUUGAGGUAGGUGGAAUGUGUUGUGUAGCGGUGAAAUGCAUAGAUAUGACACAGAACGCCGAUUGCGAAGGCAACUUACUAAGCCAUUACUGACGCUGAGGCACGAAAGCGUGGGUAGCGAACAGGAUUAGAUACCCUGGUAGUCCACGCCGUAAACGAUGUUCACUCGCUGUUUGCGAUACACAGUAAGCGGCUGAGCGAAAGCAUUAAGUGAACCACCUGGGGAGUACGAUCGCAAGGUUG